UACGUAGGGUGCGAGCGUUAAUCGGAAUUACUGGGCGUAAAGCGUGCGCAGGCGGUUUUGUAAGCCCGAUGUGAAAGCCCCGGGCUUAACCUGGGAAUGGCAUUUGGGACUGCAAGGCUGGAGUUUGGCAGAGGAGACUGGAAUUCCUGGUGUAGCAGUGAAAUGCGUAGAUAUCAGGAGGAAUACCGAUGGCGAAGGCAGGUCUCUGGGCUAUAACUGACGCUCAUGCACGAAAGCGUGGGGAGCAAACAGG
This 253-nucleotide ribosomal RNA is filed under the name uncultured bacterium. Its description in RNAcentral is "partial 16S ribosomal RNA". It matches the Rfam family "Bacterial small subunit ribosomal RNA", at positions 524 to 776 of the family's 1533-position model. The record is from RNAcentral.